This 740-nucleotide ribosomal RNA is filed under the name Streptomyces pratensis. Its description in RNAcentral is "bacterial SSU rRNA". It matches the Rfam family "Bacterial small subunit ribosomal RNA", at positions 72 to 829 of the family's 1533-position model. The record is from RNAcentral. Lineage: Bacteria; Bacillati; Actinomycetota; Actinomycetes; Kitasatosporales; Streptomycetaceae.
UAACCAUUCGGGGUGGAUUAGUGGCGAACGGGUGAGUAACACGUGGGCAAUCUGCCCUUCACUCUGGGACAAGCCCUGGAAACGGGGUCUAAUACCGGAUAACACUCUGUCCCGCAUGGGACGGGGUUAAAAGCUCCGGCGGUGAAGGAUGAGCCCGCGGCCUAUCAGCUUGUUGGUGGGGUAAUGGCCUACCAAGGCGACGACGGGUAGCCGGCCUGAGAGGGCGACCGGCCACACUGGGACUGAGACACGGCCCAGACUCCUACGGGAGGCAGCAGUGGGGAAUAUUGCACAAUGGGCGAAAGCCUGAUGCAGCGACGCCGCGUGAGGGAUGACGGCCUUCGGGUUGUAAACCUCUUUCAGCAGGGAAGAAGCGAAAGUGACGGUACCUGCAGAAGAAGCGCCGGCUAACUACGUGCCAGCAGCCGCGGUAAUACGUAGGGCGCAAGCGUUGUCCGGAAUUAUUGGGCGUAAAGAGCUCGUAGGCGGCUUGUCACGUCGGAUGUGAAAGCCCGGGGCUUAACCCCGGGUCUGCAUUCGAUACGGGCUAGCUAGAGUGUGGUAGGGGAGAUCGGAAUUCCUGGUGUAGCGGUGAAAUGCGCAGAUAUCAGGAGGAACACCGGUGGCGAAGGCGGAUCUCUGGGCCAUUACUGACGCUGAGGAGCGAAAGCGUGGGGAGCGAACAGGAUUAGAUACCCUGGUAGUCCACGCCGUAAACGUUGGGAACUAGGUGUUGGCGA